GAUGAACGCUGGCGGCGUGCCUAAUACAUGCAAGUCGAGCGAACAGACGAGGAGCUUGCUCCUCUGACGUUAGCGGCGGACGGGUGAGUAACACGUGGAUAACCUACCUAUAAGACUGGGAUAACUUCGGGAAACCGGAGCUAAUACCGGAUAAUAUAUUGAACCGCAUGGUUCAAUAGUGAAAGACGGUUUUGCUGUCACUUAUAGAUGGAUCCGCGCCGCAUUAGCUAGUUGGUAAGGUAACGGCUUACCAAGGCGACGAUGCGUAGCCGACCUGGGAGGGUGAUCGGCCACACUGGAACUGAGACCCGGUCCAGACUCCUACGGGAGGCAGCAGUAGGGAAUCUUCCGCAAUGGGCGAAAGCCUGACGGAGCAACGCCGCGUGAGUGAUGAAGGUCUUCGGAUCGUAAAACUCUGUUAUUAGGGAAGAACAAAUGUGUAAGUAACUAUGCACGUCUUGACGGUACCUAAUCAGAAAGCCACGGCUAACUACGUG
Molecule: ribosomal RNA, 497 nt
Filed under: uncultured bacterium
Lineage: Bacteria
Description: partial 16S ribosomal RNA
Rfam family: Bacterial small subunit ribosomal RNA
Source: RNAcentral